UUUAGUUAUUAGUUACUUUGGUUGUAAAAAUUGCAAUUUAGGUACAUAAUUUGUACAGUUCAGACAUUAUGUACAUGGUACAAUACUGGUUGUUUAUUUCCAUGAUCUUAAUUAUCGUUUUUAUGAUCUGUUCACAUGAAGGAUGAGUCCGAGUCUAUCAUAACUGAAGCUUAGUCCGUCAUGCGGUGAAGAAGGAAGAUGUUGGCUAGAAGAAUACCUUCCUUCAUUUGUAAUGAGAACGGUGAUGUACUUAUGUCUCUUGGCUGUAAGAAACUAAGACUGAGAAUUAUGUUGGGCUAUUCCUAUGUCAUUUUGUAAUAAACCAAGGCUGAGAGUUUAUGCUACUAUUCCUAUGCCAUUCUGUGACGAACUAAGGCUGGAAUUUUGUACUUAUACUUAUUUGAUGUUUAGCUAUGUCAUUCCAUGAGAAUCUGAGAGCUUAUUUCAUGUGGUGCACUUCUCCAAUGUCAUUUUGCGAGCAUUUGAAAAGUUAUUUAAUGUUGUGAAGCUAUGCAAUGCCAUCUUGCGAGAAUCUAACUUUAUGCGAAUGUUGUGCAAUGUUAUGUGAUCCUUCAAGAUAUUAUACAUAUGUGUGUUGAUAGGACCCGAUGGAUAUCCAUCGGUUAUGGAUAUCCAACGGGUUUGGACAUGGACACAAUUUUCUGCCCAUGGAUAUUUUCAUGGAUGGGCAAAGAACAUCCUCGUGGAUCCGGAUAUGGAUUUGAUAUUGUUCAACCCGGGCCGAACCCGAUCCAUUGCCAUCCUUACUUCUGUGAUAUGAUCUCCGUUAACAUAUCAUUCUUUCUAUCUAUGGGUAGACACUCCUUUGGGCCCAUGGAUGACUGGCACCACUGCUCAUAUUCUUUACGUAAGUUUCUCCAUGGUUGGGCUUACAAUAGGGCGGCUGAGGCACAGAGAGAAGGCGUAGUUGACAGAUCAGAUUAAAUCCCUUGACGGCGCGGCCGAUGGGCCUAGGCUUUCUAAACAGGAAUGGCAGAUGUGGUAUAACCUCGAAGAGGCCUUGAUGUCGGUGCAUCGCUAGGCUGAGAUCUACUGCGCCGAAGGGGCACCUUAAAUUGGACGCUCAAUGGCGAUUUCCCCAUGGCCUAUUUUUUCGCCAUUGCAAAUGGGAGGCGCAGGCACUGCACGAUUGACAGCCUGUUGAUCAAUAGUGUUAGAGUCAUGGAUAGGAUCAAAUCAUCUCUCACAUGGUUGAUUUCUUCUCUUCUCUCCUCUUGGCCAAACCUGAUUCGGGUUUCUCAAUCGCUUCUUCCCUUUGGGAUGCUCCUGGGAGGAUUACUAGUGAGGAGAACGAGGCUCCGUCACCCCCUUAUCCGAGGACGAAAUUCUUGAGAUUAUUCUCUCGGCCAACCCAAACUCGGUAUCGGGCCCUGAUGGCUUCUCCAUUCCCUUCUUUAGGAAAUUCUAGCCUCAACUGUGUAACCUCAUUUGUGUUAUUAUCCAAGGCUUCUAUUUGGGGACGGUUGAUAUUUCGAGGUUGAAUUACGCUGUCAUCACCGUCAUUCCUAAGGUCAAAGGAGCUGCCAUUAUCUCGCAAUUUAGACCUAUCGCUCUCAUUGACAACUUUGCGAAAUUCCCUUCCAAAGGAUUCGCUACUCGUCUAUCCCCCGUCGCUCAUCCGGUCCUUAGCCCUUACCAAUCUGCUUUUGUCAAAGGGAGGUUCAUCUUGGAUGGUAUCCUAUGUCUGCAUGAAAUCGUUCAUGAUCUUCGGGUGCGAGGCACCAAGGCUAUGAUCCAUAAGCUUGACUUUGAGAAGGUUUACGAUUCGGUCAGCUGGACUUUCAUGCAUCACGUCUUGCUGGCCAAGGGCUUUGAUGGGGCCUAUGUUCACAGGAUUAUGCAGAUGGUGAUGGGAGACCACACUACGGUCUCGGUUAAUGGCAGAGUUAGCAAUUUCUUCCCAAACAGUAGGGGCCUGAGACAAGGGGGUCCGGCUUCCCCUCUUCUUUUCAAUUUUGUCGUACACUACUACAGGAUGCUGCUAAGGUGACACUACGAUCAGAGACCCUUCGAUGAAACAGUGUGCGAUGCAAUAAUCACAAACGAUGGUGUAAAACCCUGUCAAAAAAGGACCAAAACAUUUGUUAUGAUGGGUGCAUCAAACACGGUUUAGAUUUUAGUUGCAUGUGCGAUAUAGGGCAUAUGGUUCAGUUUAAUUAACUAUUUGCGAUGAGGAGGAACAAAAGAAACAGGCAGCCAGAUGAAUGUGUGUGUGAUAUACAACAUACGGUUCACUCGGAUGAACUGUUUGUGAUGAGGAGGAACAACAGAAACGGCAACUAGAUAAAGUUGUGUGCGGUUGAGGGCAUACGCUUCAGAAGGAUUAACUUUUUGCAAUUAGGCAAUAGAACAGAAACGGCCAGCCAGAUCAAAGUGUCUGCGAUUGAUGGCAUAUGCUUCACACGGAUGAACUAUUUGCGAUUAGCCACAACAAAUAGAAACAGUUAGAUAGAUCAACGUGUGUGCUCUAGACGGGCACACAUUCUAAUGAAAAUAAGCGUGCGUGAUGGUAAUAACAAGCGUGCACGGUUGUUGGAACAAAACGUGUGAUGACAUUGCCUAUUAUGGUCCACCCUAUGGUGCAAACGCCACGUACACGACCGAGAAAGCGUGCCCACAUUACGCCUUCCGGGAAUAGUGCCGCACUUAGAACCCUCAAUAAAUUUUGAGCAUGCAUCCCGUCACAUUCCAAAUUACUACCACGCUAUAUUUAAUUGCAAACCUGUUCACACAGAUCAAAACCUAAACAGUUUCCCACUUAGGAGCAUACUAGUACUUGGUUAUAAAUACUACUACUCCAAGAUGACUGCACAUCCCUCCUCAACUCCUCAUCCACAAAAACAAAAAAAA
Molecule: long non-coding RNA, 2871 nt
Filed under: Triticum aestivum (bread wheat)
Lineage: Eukaryota; Viridiplantae; Streptophyta; Magnoliopsida; Poales; Poaceae
Description: long non-coding RNA (TAES_LNC010077)
Source: RNAcentral